AGUGAACGCUGGCGGUAGGCCUAACACAUACAAGUCGAACGGCAGCACAGUAAGAGCUUGCUCUUACGGGUGGCGAGUGGCGGACGGGUGAGGAAUACAUCGGAAUCUACUUUUUCGUGGGGGAUAACGUAGGGAAACUUACGCUAAUACCGCAUACGACCUACGGGUGAAAGCAGGGGAUCUUCGGACCUUGCGCGAUUGAAUGAGCCGAUGUCGGAUUAGCUAGUUGGCGGGGUAAAGGCCCACCAAGGCGACGAUCCGUAGCUGGUCUGAGAGGAUGAUGAGCCACACUGGAACUGAGACACGGUCCAGACUCCUACGGGAGGCAGCAGUGGGGAAUAUUGGACAAUGGGCGCAAGCCUGAUCCAGCCAUACCGCGUGGGUGAAGAAGGCCUUCGGGUUGUAAAGCCCUUUUGUUGGGAAAGAAAAGCAGCAGGUUAAUACCCCGCUGUUCUGACGGUACCCAAAGAAUAAGCACCGGCUAACUUCGUG
Molecule: ribosomal RNA, 492 nt
Filed under: uncultured bacterium
Lineage: Bacteria
Description: partial 16S ribosomal RNA
Rfam family: Bacterial small subunit ribosomal RNA
Source: RNAcentral